UAUUUUUCCCCAGGAAUCUCUCAGUUACCAUUCUCAUUACAUACAUCCUACCUACUGUUUGUCGUCUUGCCACCAAGCAAGCUCCUGAGGCCAAGUGAUGCUGUUCAGAAGGACCCCUGGCCACCUUCCACCCAGGCCUGCAACUUUCUGAUGAACGUAAGGGUUAUGAACAGCAUGUUCCUAGGAGGAUAACAGGAGAUGGCUGACCUAGAGAGGGAAGCAGAUACUGUUUAAAAAACCUCAAUAUUUCCAAGAACAAACCUAACAGCAACUGGCACUGGGUUUUCUGGAAUGCUUUUGAGGCAUCUUAAUUGCCAGCUGUCUGAGGACUUUGGAUGAACCUCAUUCAAAACUUCAGGCUUUUGUGUCUUGAGGCCGUCAGAUGCACCAGAUGCUGAAGAACGAGCAGCAAACACAUUUGAGGCCAUGCAAGCACCACAGGAUGGGCACCCGCUCUGGUGAGAACAGAAAGGAUGCAGUGGUGAACCUGGAGUGAGCAAGUGUCAGGGCUUCCACCCUGCAGUCUGAAGUGCAGCAUCAAGAUACCCAGCUCCUGAGAUGAAUUUUCAGAAAGUGCCAAAUCCAGCCAGGCCUCUGUAUGAUUAACAAAGAUGCCAUCCCCACCACAGAGAAGUGCAAGAACUGUGGCAAUCACUCAGCAGAGGUGCUUGGAGAGACCGAGAGAGUCAAUGGUAUGGUUAACCCUGAAGCUGUCACGCUGUAGAAAUCAUCUCUUCUGCCUAAUGCAACCCUGUUGUUUUGGCAGCGUGGGCAAACUCUAGCUGGAGGAAGCGCCUGCUUGGCUAAGAGAAUACGGCCUCCUUUUGCAAAGUUAUGAGAAAUUAAGAUCAGAGCGUUAGAUUUCUAUAGACUUAGAAGAGGGUCUUCUAAAUGAUGACCAUAAAUUCUACACAACUGAAAAAUGACAAAGUAACUUCUUUGGGAUUUUGUUUACUGGUUCGGUAGAAUGCCUGCAUGUGGAAAAGCAUCUCUGGGUUAUCUCCUUUUCUCAGCUCUUCCUUCUUUGGAGUAGGACUAUUGCUGCUCUUACUCCUAGUGGUUUCUGAUUGCACUGAGGACAUGCUCCAAAAUCUGCUGAAGCCAACAGAAAAAUUCCCUGAGAGCCCAAAUUCCAAAUUUCUGUGGUGUUCCCCAUUCAAGAUCUUCCAGUGUCUGUCCCCAGCGUGCCAGGAUAGGUCCGGAAUACUUGCUUUUCGAAACAGAAAAAUUAACUCCAACAUGAAACUUGGCACCGACUUCGAAAGGAUUACCCCAGUCAGCUAUGUUCUGGCAAUCCUUGCUUACAGCACAGUUUUCACAUAUGUUAAAUGUUAUGCUGAUAGUUUGCAUAUUCUUAUACUAAAUAAAUAUGUACAUUUAUGUACACUGUGAUGUAAUGGCAAUUUACAUCUCAUAUGACCAUCUGACAUUGUUUCUUCUAGGAAUGGAUGUCUCUCCUCAGCAUCAUGAGA
Harpia harpyja (harpy eagle) is the source of this 1472-nucleotide long non-coding RNA. RefSeq lists it as uncharacterized. The transcript has 3 exons. NCBI's taxonomy places the organism in Eukaryota, Metazoa, Chordata, Aves, Accipitriformes, Accipitridae. The record is from RefSeq and is a predicted model, not a curated record.